GACGAACGCUGGCGGCGUGCUUAACACAUGCAAGUCGAACGGAAAGGCUCCAGCUUGCUGGAGUACUCGAGUGGCGAACGGGUGAGUAACACGUGGGUAAUCUGCCCUGCACUCUGGGAUAAGCCUGGGAAACUGGGUCUAAUACUGGAUAUGACCUUUCUCCUUAUGGGGUUUGGUGGAAAGUUUUUCGGUGUAGGAUGAGCCCGCGGCCUAUCAGCUUGUUGGUGGGGUGAUGGCCUACCAAGGCGACGACGGGUAGCCGGCCUGAGAGGGUGAUCGGCCACAUUGGGACUGAGAUACGGCCCAGACGCCUACGGGAGGCAGCAGUGGGGAAUAUUGCACAAUGGGCGGAAGCCUGAUGCAGCGACGCCGCGUGAGGGAUGACGGCCUUCGGGUUGUAAACCUCUUUCAGCAGGGACGAAGCGUAAGUGACGGUACCUGCAGAAGAAGCACCGGCUAACUACGUG
This 467-nucleotide ribosomal RNA is filed under the name uncultured bacterium. Its description in RNAcentral is "partial 16S ribosomal RNA". It matches the Rfam family "Bacterial small subunit ribosomal RNA", at positions 28 to 507 of the family's 1533-position model. The record is from RNAcentral.